AGCUGGGUUCAGGCGGAUUUGGUUUGGUGUGUGAAGGAACCCGCAAUGAGGAUGAACUCAAGGUGGCUGUGAAAUUUUCAGUGAAGGCACCAAACAUGCCAAACAUCUCAGUGCCUGGUCAUCCCAAUCGCCUGCCGUUGGAGAUCGGCUUGACACUCAUGGCCAAUAAGGGCCCCAGCGCUCCUCAAAUAAUUCAACUGCUGGACUGGGAAGAGGAGACGGACCAC
Puntigrus tetrazona (Sumatra barb) is the source of this 227-nucleotide long non-coding RNA. RefSeq lists it as uncharacterized. The record is from RefSeq and is a predicted model, not a curated record. The transcript is spliced from 3 exons. NCBI's taxonomy places the organism in Eukaryota, Metazoa, Chordata, Actinopteri, Cypriniformes, Cyprinidae.